GCAAUUCAUGGACAGAUCUCGGAUGCCUUCUCUGCUCCUAUCUCAGGACACGGAGAAGGCGUUCGACAGGGUCAAAUGGCCAUACUUAUUUACGCUUCUGAGGCACUGGGGCUUUCCGGCCCCGUUUGUGAGCGCCGUAGGAGUCCUCUAGAGACCUGCGGGCAACGUGUAGUUCUCCCUGGGGAAGGUGGCAACACAUUUCCUAUAAGUAAUGGAACCAGGCAGGGGUGUCCCUUGUCUCACCUUCUAUUCGCCAUCGCACUGGAACCAUUUCUGUAGCGGAUAAGAGAGGC
Molecule: non-coding RNA, 293 nt
Organism: Pelobates cultripes (western spadefoot toad)
Lineage: Eukaryota; Metazoa; Chordata; Amphibia; Anura; Pelobatidae
Source: the annotation of a GenBank genome assembly